UGAACGCUGGCGGCGUGCCUAAUACAUGCAAGUCGAGCGAACGGACGCGAAGCUUGCUUCUCUGAUGUUAGCGGCGGACGGGUGAGUAACACGUGGAUAACCUACCUAUAAGACUGGGAUAACUUCGGGAAACCGGAGCUAAUACCGGAUAAUAUUUUUAACCGCAUGGUUCAAAAGUGAAAGACGGUCUUGCUGUCACUUAUAGAUGGAUCCGCGCUGCAUUAGCUAGUUGGUAAGGUAACGGCUUACCAAGGCAACGAUGCAUAGCCGACCUGAGAGGGUGAUCGGCCACACUGGAACUGAGACACGGUCCAGACUCCUACGGGAGGCAGCAGUAGGGAAUCUUCCGCAAUGGGCGAAAGCCUGACGGAGCAACGCCGCGUGAGUGAUGAAGGUCUUCGGAUCGUAAAACUCUGUUAUUAGGGAAGAACAUAUGUGUAAGUAACUGUGCACAUCUUGACGGUACCUAAUCAGAAAGCCACGGCUAACUACGUG
Molecule: ribosomal RNA, 495 nt
Filed under: uncultured bacterium
Lineage: Bacteria
Description: partial 16S ribosomal RNA
Rfam family: Bacterial small subunit ribosomal RNA
Source: RNAcentral